ACACAAUCUUUGCAGGGGGAAAAGAAGUAUGAGACAGAAGGAUUUUUCUAGGGAAUCUGAACCAUAUUAGCUCUGAUCCUUCUAGGGCCAGAGAUUGCUGGUCACUAACCAUUUCCAACUGUAAUUUUAUUGCUGCAAUAUGCAAUUUGCAAUAUGUUGCUACUAAGGGGGGAAAGAUUUUGUUGAACAGCAGCAAAUCCUCAAGAUAUAAAUGAGUAUAAACAGAUUUAACACAGAGCUGCCUUUGUCAAUCAACCUGUUCCUGUCUUCUCUGUGCCUGUUUACUAUAAUUGAAUUGGUGGUUCGAACUCCUUGAACUUUGUAUUCCAUUAAAAAUUGCACUGGGGCUGUGUGGGCAAACAGGACACCUUCUGAAAAGAAACAUGUCGGAAAGACGGGGGAAGGGAGAUCAAGAACAAAAGGCUUUUAACUUAUGCUGUACAUGAUAAUGAUAGACUUCCUUCAAAGAGCACUGGGACUUUCAAAAAUCACAGGAGUGCAGAGAGGUUACCCAUAGAUAUUUGAAUUAUUAACACAUCUUUAAACAUUAAAGAAAGAUGUAUUGAUAGAAUAUCAAUGUGAUAAAUUAUUUACUUACAGAAAGUAAAGCAUGGAAGGAAAAUUAACUGUUCAUUGCUCCUUGGUAAGAGAAGGCCUUCUAGAAAGGCCUCAUAAAAGGAUUUGUUAGCACUAAUAAGCUUGUUAAUAGCUUUCAGAGUAGAUGACCUUAAAACGGUAUGGAAGCUUAGAAAAUUAGAGAAAAAAGGUGGCAUCUUGAAUACUGGACAAAUUGCUAUUGUUGUUCAGCUUAUGAAAGGUUUGGAGUUACACAAAAUCAUAUCAGACAGAAAGAGAUGGAAAUGGGAGAUAAAUAACUUGGAUAAAGGAAUGGAGGAGGCAAAAGAGAGCUUUGGCAGGUAAGGAGUAUUUGUUGUCAGGCACAAGCUUAAAUACCGGUAAGUUCGCUCUGCUUGGGUUCAAUGAGUGUGUUUCACAGGGAAGCUCCACACACCUGGUUUCCUUCCUUCUUUCUCUGGACCUUGGUUCCUAGCCAGCCUGCCUGCUUGAACUCCUGGACCACCUGACAAUGCCUGUACCUAUCUUGACCUUGGACUGUCUGACCACACUUGUGCUUGAUGCCCGUCCUGACCUCGAACUGCCUGACAUGCUGUAGCUGAUGCCUGCCAACACACACAUAUCCAGCUUCCUCCCUUUUCUCUUAGCCAGCUCUUGUAUGCCUUCUAUAUACAUGUUAAUUGCUUAAAAUAUAUUUCGUCUUUGAAUUAUUUUAU
Molecule: long non-coding RNA, 1292 nt
Organism: Sphaerodactylus townsendi
Lineage: Eukaryota; Metazoa; Chordata; Lepidosauria; Squamata; Sphaerodactylidae
Exons: 3
Source: RefSeq, a predicted model, not a curated record